AAAUUGAAGAGUUUGAUCAUGGCUCAGAUUGAACGCUGGCGGCAGGCCUAACACAUGCAAGUCGAACGGUAACAGAAAGCAGCUUGCUGCUUUGCUGACGAGUGGCGGACGGGUGAGUAAUGUCUGGGAAACUGCCCGAUGGAGGGGGAUAACUACUGGAAACGGUAGCUAAUACCGCAUAACGUCGCAAGACCAAAGAGGGGGACCUUCGGGCCUCUUG
RNAcentral lists this ribosomal RNA (220 nucleotides) under Escherichia coli. RNAcentral's name for it is "partial 16S ribosomal RNA". It matches the Rfam family "Bacterial small subunit ribosomal RNA", at positions 1 to 217 of the family's 1533-position model. Lineage: Bacteria; Pseudomonadati; Pseudomonadota; Gammaproteobacteria; Enterobacterales; Enterobacteriaceae. The record is from RNAcentral.